Molecule: ribosomal RNA, 301 nt
Filed under: uncultured bacterium
Lineage: Bacteria
Description: partial 16S ribosomal RNA
Rfam family: Bacterial small subunit ribosomal RNA
Source: RNAcentral
CAGUAGCCGCGGGAAUACAGAGGGUGCGAGCGUUAAUCGGAUUUACUGGGCGUAAAGCGUGCGUAGGCGGCUUCUUAAGUCGGAUGUGAAAUCCCUGAGCUUAACUUAGGAAUUGCAUUCGAUACUGGGAAGCUAGAGUAUGGGAGAGGAUGGUAGAAUUCCAGGUGUAGCGGUGAAAUGCGUAGAGAUCUGGAGGAAUACCGAUGGCGUAGGCAGCCAUCUGGCCUAAUACUGACGCUGAGGUACGAAAGCAUGGGGAGCAAACAGGAUUAGAUACCCCGGUAGUCCCUGUCUCUUAUAC